Molecule: long non-coding RNA, 704 nt
Filed under: Ananas comosus (pineapple)
Lineage: Eukaryota; Viridiplantae; Streptophyta; Magnoliopsida; Poales; Bromeliaceae
Description: long non-coding RNA (ACOM_LNC010201)
Source: RNAcentral
AGGAUUGUGAACUCGACAGUUCUAGAGCAGUGGGUUGAGUGUGACAAGUUUCCCUCCCACUGGACGAACUUCGAGGAUGAGCUGUUGACUGAUUCGAGGCCACGGGUCGGGUGUGGCAGGUUCCCCCUCCCGUCGGCAGAAUCGUGCUUCGCUAGUGUUGAGUGUGACAUGUCCCCUUCCCUAUCGGGGGUCUUGGACCGCGGGUUGAGUUUGUGGCAUAAUCCCCUUCCCACCGGAAAGAUCCCUGACCAUGGGUGUACGCAGCUCUGGGCGACCCGUUGGCGAGAUGUUUGUGGACUGAAGGCUGAGGUGUAAGUGAGAGGUCCUUCACCUUGAGCCGGACAGAGCGCGGACUAUCCGCAGUUGAUUGACUCGAGACCGAGUCGAGUGGCAUAGAUGGCUAAGGUAAAAUAACCUUAGAAAAGAAUCGCCAGUGAGCACAAUAAGACAAAGAGUAAAGAAUAAAGAAUAGCUAAUAAAGAAAAAAACGGCUACAAGUAAAGAAUGGUUAAUGAUAUAAAGUAGAAUCAAGUAAUCUACUUGCAUGAUUUACAGGUAUUGCAUAUUGCAUAGCAUUGUUAUAGUUGCGAGGCAAGGUAUGGUUUUAUUAAUUGCAUAAUCAAAUAUCUAUCUAUCUGUUUAUUAAACUAACCUGCAGUUGCCUCCUUUGAACCUGAUGGCCGAGCUUUUCCCUUGGAUGGCCG